AACGAACGCUGGCGGCGCGUCUUAAACAUGCAAGUCGAACGGCAGGAAGGGGCUUGCCCCUUCUGAGAGGGGCGGACUGGUGAGUAACACGUGGGUGACAUACCUUUUAGUUGGGGAUAGCUAUUAGAAAUAGUAGGUAAUACCGAAUGUGACCGUACCGGUUAGAGGGGUACGAGGAAAGGAGCUAAGGCUUCGCUAAAAGAAUGGCUCGUGGCCCAUUAUGCUCGUUGGUGGGGUAACGGCCCACCAAGGCGAUGAUGGGUAUCCGGCCUGAGAGGGUGAACGGACACAUUGGGACUGAGACACGGCCCAGACUGCUACGGGAGGCAGCAGUUAAGAAUAUUCCGCAAUGGACGAAAGUCUGACGGAGCGACGCCGCGUGGAUGAAGAAUGCCGAAAGGUUGUAAAAUCCUUUUAAGCCUGAUGAAUAAGCACAGUAGGGAAUGAUUGUGCGGUGACCGUAGGGCUUGAAUAAGCACCGGCUAAGUACGUG
Molecule: ribosomal RNA, 493 nt
Filed under: uncultured bacterium
Lineage: Bacteria
Description: partial 16S ribosomal RNA
Rfam family: Bacterial small subunit ribosomal RNA
Source: RNAcentral